GGGGGGCAAGCGUUGUUCGGAAUUACUGGGCGUAAAGGGCUCGUAGGCGGCCAACUAAGUCAGACGUGAAAUCCCCAGGCUCAACCUGGGAACUGCGUCUGAUACUGGAUGGCUUGAAUCCGGGAGAGGGAUGCAGAAUUCCAGGUGUAGCGGUGAAAUGCGUAGAUAUCUGGAGGAAUACCGGUGGCGAAGGCGGCAUCCUGGACCGGCAUUGACGCUGAGGAGCGAAAGCUAGGGGAGCAAACGGGAUUAGAUACCCCGGUAGUCCUAGCCCUAAACGAUGAAUGCUUGGCGUAACGGGUAUCGAUCCCUGUUGUGCCGAAGCUAACGCAUUAAGCAUUCCGCCUGGGGAGUACGGUCGCAAGGCUG
This 369-nucleotide ribosomal RNA is filed under the name uncultured organism. RNAcentral describes it as "bacterial SSU rRNA". It matches the Rfam family "Bacterial small subunit ribosomal RNA", at positions 529 to 896 of the family's 1533-position model. The record is from RNAcentral.